RNAcentral lists this ribosomal RNA (606 nucleotides) under Naganishia uzbekistanensis. RNAcentral's name for it is "eukaryotic LSU rRNA". It matches the Rfam family "Eukaryotic large subunit ribosomal RNA", at positions 46 to 643 of the family's 3401-position model. The record is from RNAcentral. Lineage: Eukaryota; Fungi; Basidiomycota; Tremellomycetes; Filobasidiales; Filobasidiaceae.
AUAAGCGGAGGAAAAGAAACUAACAAGGAUUCCCCUAGUAACGGCGAGUGAAGCGGGAAGAGCUCAAAUUUGAAAUCUGGUAGCCUUCGGCUGCCCGAGUUGUAAUCUAGAGAAGUGUUUUCCGUGCCGGCCCAUGUACAAGUCCCUUGGAACAGGGCGUCAUAGAGGGUGAGAAUCCCGUCCUUGACAUGGACCCCCGGUGCUUUGUGAUACACUUUCAACGAGUCGAGUUGUUUGGGAAUGCAGCUCAAAAUGGGUGGUGAAUUCCAUCUAAAGCUAAAUAUUGGCGAGAGACCGAUAGCGAACAAGUACCGUGAGGGAAAGAUGAAAAGCACUUUGGAAAGAGAGUUAAACAGUACGUGAAAUUGUUGAAAGGGAAACGAUUGAAGUCAGUCAUGCUCUUUGGAUUCAGCCGUUCUGCGGUGUAUUUCCAUUGAGUGGGGUCAACAUCAGUUUUGACCGCUGGAUAAAGGCACUAGGAAGGUAGCACUCUCGGGUGAACUUAUAGCCUAGCGUCAUAUACAGUGGUUGGGACUGAGGAACGCAGCAUGCCUUUAUGGCCGGGAUUCGUCCACGUACAUGUUAGGAUGUGACAUAAUGCUUUAA